AGAAAAUGGGUCCAAAUUUAGAGCUGCAUUUUUCUUCCCUCAAAAUAAGAAGAAAACAUUUCCUCAGCUCAUAUUUCAGCACCUCAGGAUCAACUUGGGAAAGAACAGAGGAGGGCACAAGCAUUAUCAAUUUAUUUGCUAUAGUAUUGUCCCUCUUCCUCUGGCCUCCUGAAGUGUUUCCAUUCCAGUGUCACCAUCUUUUGUUUCAUUCAUUUGUAGAAUAUAUUCUUCUUUUUUCUAUACCUUUAUUACCUCCUUUUAACUUUGAUUAUCUUUACUUGAUGAGUAUUAUUAGACCCAUUCUCAAAAUUUUGCAUCCCCUGCUUCUUUCUUAUGGUCCUUAUACUCAAACAUGUGCAAGUUUGUAUUUUUCUGAUGGAUUGGACUAUUGGGAACUUAGGUACUUUUACUUUUUA
Molecule: non-coding RNA, 416 nt
Organism: Malus domestica (apple)
Lineage: Eukaryota; Viridiplantae; Streptophyta; Magnoliopsida; Rosales; Rosaceae
Source: RefSeq, a predicted model, not a curated record